AUUUUAUUUAUUUUUAUGUGGUGCUGAGGAUCAAACCCAGAGCCUUAUACAUGUGAGGGGAGUGCUCUACCACUGAGCCAUAACCCCAGGCCCACUGAAGGUCAACUUUAUUAGAUUACCUCAUGCCUGAUCCUAGCAAGAAAUAGAUUCAUCAAGAUAAGUUAGUUCAUAAUUUUUGUGACAUAAUAUUUAUUUGGUCCAGACAUGAAGACUUUAUUUGAUUAAACAAACAUUCUCUUUGAUAAGAUACCUAUUUUCUAUGAGAAAUCCUGUGAUACUUAUUUAGCUAAAGAACUUUUGUUAAACUAACAAAUGUGUCUUGAAUGGCCUGCCAAUUCUGAUUAAAGUGGAUAUAGUUCCAGUAAGGAGCAAUGAACAACCUUUCUUAGGUGUUUACCAGUGUUAAUUUCAUUUUAAAGUAGAUCAAAAUGAAUAACAAUUGACCUUAAGUUCAAAGGUUGGUAUUGUUAUAAGAAGAGGAGGUGACAUACUUAAAGUUUCAGAGAAGGCCAGAGAAAGCAAAGACAAAAAUUGGAAUGGUGCAACAACAAGCCAGGAAACAUGAAUAACUGCUGGAAGUAACCAGAAGCUAGGAGAGAGGCAUGGGACAGAUACACCCUCAGGAAAUCCAGAAAGAACUACUCUGGCCUAACACCUUUCUUCUCUACUUUUGUUCAAUUGAAAUGUGAAAAAAUAAACUUCUGUUGUUUUGAGCCA
RNAcentral lists this long non-coding RNA (717 nucleotides) under Marmota monax (woodchuck). The record is from RNAcentral. Lineage: Eukaryota; Metazoa; Chordata; Mammalia; Rodentia; Sciuridae.